Molecule: ribosomal RNA, 699 nt
Filed under: uncultured bacterium
Lineage: Bacteria
Description: bacterial SSU rRNA
Rfam family: Bacterial small subunit ribosomal RNA
Source: RNAcentral
AGAGUUUGAUCCUGGCUCAGAAUGAACGCUGGCGGCAGGCCUAACACAUGCAAGUCAAACGGCUUCUUCGGAAGCAGUGGCGCACGGGUGCGUAACACGUGGGAAUAUACCCUUAGGUAUGGAAUAACUCAGUGAAAACUGUGCUAAUACCAUAUAACAUCUCCGGAUCAAAGAUUUAUCGCCUAGGGAUUAGCCCGCGUCUGAUUAGUUUGUUGGUGAGGUAAGAGCUCACCAAGACUACGAUCAGUAGCUGGUCUGAGAGGAUGAUCAGCCACACUGGAACUGAGACACGGUCCAGACUCCUACGGGAGGCAGCAGUGAGGAAUAUUGCACAAUGGAGGAAACUCUGAUGCAGCCAUGCCGCGUGAGUGAAGAAGGCCUUAGGGUUGUAAAUCUCUUUCAGUAGUGAAGAUAAUGACGGUAACUACAGAAGAAGCUCCGGCUAACUUCGUGCCAGCAGCCGCGGUAAUACGAAGGGAGCGAGCGUUAUUCGGAAUCACUGGGCUUAAAGCGUGCGUAGGCGGAUAGGAAAGUCAGAAGUGAAAUCCCAGGGCUCAACCCUGGAACUGCUUUUGAAACUUCCAAUCUAGAAUUCGGUAGAGGCUGAUGGAAUAUCAAGUGUAGAGGUGAAAUUCGCAGAUAUUUGAUGGAACACCAGUGGCGAAGGCGAUCAGCUGGGCCGAUAUUGACGCUGAGGUA